AGGACGAACGCUGGCGGCGUGGAUUAGGCAUGCAAGUUGAGCGACAGACAAGGGCUUGCCUUUGUUAUGGAGCAGCGAACGGGUGAGUAACACGUGAACAACCUGUCCCCACAUUCCGGAUAAUUGGAAGAAAUUCCUUGUAAUACGGGCGAGGAUCAGUGCAAGGCAUCUUAUGCUGAGGGAACAUGCAAAUGGUGCGGGGAGGGGUUCGCGGCCUAUCAGGUAGUUGGUGUGGUAACGGCACACCAAGCCGACGACGGGUAGC
RNAcentral lists this ribosomal RNA (265 nucleotides) under uncultured bacterium. RNAcentral's name for it is "partial small subunit ribosomal RNA". It matches the Rfam family "Bacterial small subunit ribosomal RNA", at positions 26 to 287 of the family's 1533-position model. The record is from RNAcentral.